GAUGAACGCUGGCGGCGUGCCUAAUACAUGCAAGUCGAGCGAACGGACGAGAAGCUUGCUUCUCUGAUGUUAGCGGCGGACGGGUGAGUAACACGUGGAUAACCUACCUAUAAGACUGGGAUAACUUCGGGAAACCGGAGCUAAUACCGGAUGAUAUUUUGAACCGCAUGGUUCAAAAGUGAAAGACGGUCUUGCUGUCACUUAUAGAUGGAUCCGCGCUGCAUUAGCUAGUUGGUAAGGUAACGGCUUACCAAGGCAACGAUGCAUAGCCGACCUGAGAGGGUGAUCGGCCACACUGGAACGGAGACACGGUCCAGGCUCCUACGGGAGGCAGCAGUAGGGAAUCUUCCGCAGUGGGCGAAAGCCUGACGGAGCAACGCCGCGUGAGUGAUGAAGGUCUUCGGAUCGUAAAACUCUGUUAUUAGGGAAGAACAUAUGUGUAAGUAACUGUGCACAUCUUGACGGUACCUAAUCAGAAAGCCACGGCUAACUACGUG
Molecule: ribosomal RNA, 497 nt
Filed under: uncultured bacterium
Lineage: Bacteria
Description: partial 16S ribosomal RNA
Rfam family: Bacterial small subunit ribosomal RNA
Source: RNAcentral